CCUACGGGUGGCAGCAGUGAGGAAUAUUGGUCAAUGGACGAGAGUCUGAACCAGCCAAGUAGCGUGAAGGAUGACUGCCCUAUGGGUUGUAAACUUCUUUUAUAUGGGAAUAAACUGUUCCACGUGUGGGAUUUUGUAUGUACCAUAUGAAUAAGGAUCGGCUAACUCCGUGCCAGCAGCCGCGGUAAUACGGAGGAUCCGAGCGUUAUCCGGAUUUAUUGGGUUUAAAGGGAGCGUAGGUGGAUUGUUAAGUCAGUUGUGAAAGUUUGCGGCUCAACCGUAAAAUUGCAGUUGAAACUGGCAGUCUUGAGUACAGUAGAGGUGGGCGGAAUUCGGGGUGUAGCGGUGAAAUGCUUAGAUAUAACGAAGAACUCCGAUUGCGAAGGCAGUUCACUGGACUGCAACUGACACUGAGGCUCGAAAGUGUGGGUAUCAAACAGGAUUAGAUACCCCAGUAGUC
This 460-nucleotide ribosomal RNA is filed under the name uncultured bacterium. RNAcentral's name for it is "partial 16S ribosomal RNA". It matches the Rfam family "Bacterial small subunit ribosomal RNA", at positions 338 to 795 of the family's 1533-position model. The record is from RNAcentral.